CGGGGUGUUUCAGGGCUGAGGGGUGUGGGGGACCCAACUGCCCACCAGGCACAGCUGGGCUUCUGCUGCCUCAGCCUUGAGCUCCCAACCCCCCUUCCCCAAAUCCUGGCUCCCUCCUCCCUUUCCCCAUCCCCGCUUGGUGACAGAAUCUAUUCUUAGUUCUCUCAUUCUCCUGAGAUGCAAGGGUCUGCUGGGAGCUUCUAGAGCUGGAAGCAGAGCUCCUAGGGCCCUAGGAUCUGGUGCAGCCUCAGGAUGGAAGGCGCCUGAGUCCCUGAGUCAGCGCAUGGAGGUCUGCCCCUCACCAACCAGAACACCUCAACUGUACUCACAUGCCCUAAACGAUCUGAUCGACUCAUUCGCACCGUGCUGUGCCGUCCAGGAGUUCCUGCAGGAGCCGGGCACUCCUUCUCCGCACUGGCUGUUGGGAACGUUGGCUGCUGACGCUCCAGCUGAGUCCUCCUUCAGGACUCAUCUUCAUAUAAGGGAGCUCUUUUGGGCAAGGUCACGCCCCCCUCUACCCCAGGGGCAGCCACAUCCAAAAGACUGGUGGAAACAGGAGUAUAAAGGCCCAGCCCUCUCGCUUAAAUCCAGGGAACUCUGGAGGACCAGUGCAGCUCCAGAGCUCCCUGUGGGGUCAGCUGAGGCCUGUCUAGGGCCUCCAGCGUCCAUCACAGCCCGACUCCUCUCUCUGCCCAAUCCAGUUUCCUUUAUAUGCCCACGGGGGUUGAUUGCAAAGGCCCUCCCCAAGAAGCCUCCUUCAAGCAAGUCUGUACUUUAGAGUGUGUUUUCUGGGAAACCUACCUAAGAUACCCACUAAAGUAUAAAUGAUUACUCAGUUCCAAGGGAUGUCUUCCCUGGGGGUGUUUGCAUAGCAAGAAUAAUAGCUAACAUUCAUGGAGCAAUUUCUAUGUGCCAGGCACUGUGCUAAGCACUUUGCCUGUAUCACCUUAUUUAACGAGGAAUAGAAUUUAUGCCAAAGGAAUGAAUUUCUAAUGGUGAAAUUUCAAGCUUAAGGAGGCUGGAAAUGUUUAUGUGGCACAAAUUCUGUUACAAAUUUCUCUGCCUCACGGUAUUCUCAGUCCUGAUCUUUGUACUGGCUGAGUAAAGCCCCCAGAAGUUCAGGAUGCGGGCUCCCAAUCUCAUUCUUCCUCAAAAAAAAGCAUUUUUUGUUCUGCUGAGGAAGAUUCUCCCUGAGUUAACAUCCAUUGCCAAUCCUCUUUUUUUUG
Molecule: long non-coding RNA, 1226 nt
Organism: Equus caballus (horse)
Lineage: Eukaryota; Metazoa; Chordata; Mammalia; Perissodactyla; Equidae
Source: RefSeq, a predicted model, not a curated record